GAGGGGCAGCGGGGAGGUAGCAAUACUUUCGCCGGCGACCGGCGCACGGGUGAGUAACACGUAUGGAACCUGCCCGUAGCAGGGGGAUAAGCGGAAGAAAUUCCGUCUAAUACCGCGUAAUAACUCCGAGAGGCAUCUCAUGGAGUUUAAAGGGUAACACCGGCUACGGAUGGCCAUGCGGCGCAUUAGCUAGUUGGCGGGGUAACGGCCCACCAAGGCGACGACGCGUAGGGGUUCUGAGAGGAAGGUCCCCCACACUGGUACUGAGACACGGACCAGGCUCCUACGGGAGGCAGCAGUGAGGAAUAUUGGUCAAUGGGCGCGAGCCUGAACCAGCCAAGUCGCGUGAGGGAAGACGGUCCUAUGGAUUGUAAACCUCUUUUGCAGGGGAGCAAGGCGCGGUACGUGUACCGCGAAGGAGAGUACCCUGAGAAAAAGCAUCGGCUAACUCCGUGCCAGCAGCCGCGGUAAUACGGAGGAUGCGAGCGUUAUCCGGAUUUAUUGGGUUUAAAGGGUGCGCAGGCGGACUGUUAAGUCAGCGGUAAAAUGUCGGUGCUCAACACCGGCCGGCCGUUGAAACUGGCAGCCUUGAGUGAGCGAGAAGUAUGCGGAAUGCGUGGUGUAGCGGUGAAAUGCAUAGAUAUCACGCAGAACUCCGAUUGCGAAGGCAGCAUACCGGCGCUCAACUGACGCUCAGGCACGAAAGCGUGGGUAUCGAACAGGCUUAGAUACCCUGGUAGUCCACGCAGUAAACGAUGAAUGCUCACUGUCCGGGCCGUUUAAGGCCUGGGUGGUCAAGCGAAAGCGUUAAGCAUUCCACCUGGGGAGUACGCCGGCAACGGUGAACU
Molecule: ribosomal RNA, 848 nt
Filed under: uncultured bacterium
Lineage: Bacteria
Description: bacterial SSU rRNA
Rfam family: Bacterial small subunit ribosomal RNA
Source: RNAcentral